AUACAGAGGGUGCAAGCGUUAAUCGGAUUUACUGGGCGUAAAGCGCGCGUAGGCGGCUAAUUAAGUCAAAUGUGAAAUCCCCGAGCUUAACUUGGGAAUUGCAUUCGAUACUGGUUAGCUAGAGUGUGGGAGAGGAUGGUAGAAUUCCAGGUGUAGCGGUGAAAUGCGUAGAGAUCUGGAGGAAUACCGAUGGCGAAGGCAGCCAUCUGGCCUAACACUGACGCUGAGGUGCGAAAGCAUGGGGAGCAAACAGGAUUAGAUACCCGCGUAGUCC
Molecule: ribosomal RNA, 274 nt
Filed under: uncultured bacterium
Lineage: Bacteria
Description: partial 16S ribosomal RNA
Rfam family: Bacterial small subunit ribosomal RNA
Source: RNAcentral